RNAcentral lists this ribosomal RNA (255 nucleotides) under uncultured bacterium. RNAcentral describes it as "partial 16S ribosomal RNA". It matches the Rfam family "Bacterial small subunit ribosomal RNA", at positions 524 to 776 of the family's 1533-position model. The record is from RNAcentral.
UACGUAGGUGGCAAGCGUUGUCCGGAAUUAUUGGGCGUAAAGAGCUCGUAGGCGGUUUGUUGCGUCGGCUGUGAAAUCCCGAGGCUCAACCUCGGGUCUGCAGUCGAUACGAGCAAACUAGAGUGUUGCAGGGGAGACUGGAAUUCCCGUGGUGUAGCGGUGAAAUGCGCAGAUAUCAGGAGGAACACCGGUGGCGAAGGCGGGUCUCUGGGCCACUACUGACGCUGAGAAGCGAAAGCAUGGGGAGCGAACAGG